GGGGGCUGCGCACUGAUGGGGGGGGGGGUGGGGCAGAGGCCAAGGCGGGGGGGUGUGGGGGGGGGUCAGGACCCCCUUAUUCCUUCUUGCCCCCCCAUUUGGCCAUCUUAUUAUUGAUGGGCAUCUUCUGGAAGCGGCUGGACUUCAGGUACGCCGCCACCUUCUCCAGCGCCCCGAAGCGCUCCAUGAAGCUGCCCAGGUUGCCGUAGGGCUCCAGGCAGCGCGGGGCGAAGAUGCGGUUCUGAUCCAACACAUCAAACAUGAGGAAAUCCACGAAGGUGAGCUUCUCCCCUGCAAACCACUUUCUGUCCCCCAGGAAGGCGGAGAAGAGCCGCAGUUUGCCGGGCAGCUGCUCCAAAUAUCCCGGCUUCAGCUUCUCGAAGUCGGGGCUGUAGCACACCAUCACUAGGCUCAUACGGAAGUCCAUCACCUGGUUCUCCAGCACGUCCACGCGCUGCCGCUCCUCCUCCGUGUCCCCACACAUGUUGUGCUUGCGGGCGAUGUAGCGCAGGAUGGCGUUGCUCUGGGUCAGUUUGACGUCGCCGUCGAUGAAGUAGGGGAGAUUUGGGAAGUCCAGCCCCAGCUUCUCCUUCUCGUUGAUCCAUUGGCUCUUAUCAUAAUCGGGGGCUUCCCCGCAGCUGUACAGUUUGUCCUCAUAGGGCGUCCCGGUGUGCUCCAGCAGCAGGCGGAUGGCGUGGGCCAGCCCGCGGAUAUCCCAGUAUCCCAACACCGCCAUUGCUGCGCGCACUCCCGACGGCGCCCCCCCCGCCCCCUGAGCCCCCCCGCAGCUCCUCCCUUUCCC
RNAcentral lists this long non-coding RNA (802 nucleotides) under Gallus gallus (chicken). Lineage: Eukaryota; Metazoa; Chordata; Aves; Galliformes; Phasianidae. The record is from RNAcentral.